Molecule: small RNA, 869 nt
Filed under: Pan troglodytes (chimpanzee)
Lineage: Eukaryota; Metazoa; Chordata; Mammalia; Primates; Hominidae
Description: retained intron
Source: RNAcentral
UCCACACGCCAGACAAGCUCAGCUUCAUCCUGGACCUCAUGAACGGUGGGGACCUGCACUACCACCUCUCCCAGCACGGGGUCUUCUCAGAGGCUGACAUGCGCUUCUAUGCGGCCGAGAUCAUCCUGGGCCUGGAGCACAUGCACAACCGCUUCGUGGUCUACCGGGACCUGAAGCCAGCCAACAUCCUUCUGGACGAGCAUGGCCACGUGCGGAUCUCGGACCUGGGCCUGGCCUGUGACUUCUCCAAGAAGAAGCCCCAUGCCAGCGUGUGAGUGCCCCCCACCCUCUCCCUCCCCACCCCUUGCCACUCCCGCUUAUGGCCCCCUUGCUCCUACAGGGGCACCCACGGGUACAUGGCUCCGGAGGUCCUGCAGAAGGGCGUGGCCUACGACAGCAGUGCCGACUGGUUCUCUCUGGGGUGCAUGCUCUUCAAGUUGCUGCGGGGGCACAGCCCCUUCCGGCAGCACAAGACCAAAGACAAGCAUGAGAUCGACCGCAUGACGCUGACGAUGGCCGUGGAGCUGCCCGACUCCUUCUCCCCUGAACUACGCUCCCUGCUGGAGGGGUUGCUGCAGAGGGAUGUCAACCGGAGAUUGGGCUGCCUGGGCCGAGGGGCUCAGGAGGUGAAAGAGAGCCCCUUUUUCCGCUCCCUGGACUGGCAGAUGGUCUUCUUGCAGAAGGUAACAGUCUGUGGCAGGGACUGGGGGUGCUCUGCAGCCCCACCCCCGAGCUAAUGCCCAUGACCCCUGUUCUGCUGCAGUACCCUCCCCCGCUGAUCCCCCCACGAGGGGAGGUGAACGCGGCCGACGCCUUCGACAUUGGCUCCUUCGAUGAGGAGGACACAAAAGGAAUCAAGGUACUGGGCC